CUCGGCACACAGCUCAGUAACACGUGGCCAACCUGCCCUUGGGACGGAAACACCCCCGGGAAACUGGGGCUAAUUUCCGAUAGGUGAAGACUCCUGGAAUGGAUUUUCGCUCAAAGGGCGCCUGGGGCAUGCUCCUAGGCGUUGCCCAAGGAUGGGGCCGCGGCCGAUCAGGUUGUUGGUGAGGUAAUGGCCCACCAAGCCUUUAACCGGUACGGGCCGUGGGAGCGGUAGCCCGGAGAUGGGCACUGAGACAAGGGCCCAGGCCCUACGGGGCGCAGCAGUCGCGAAAACUUCGCAAUAAGCGAAAGCUUGACGGGGCCAUCCCGAGUGCCAUCUGCUGAGGAUGGCUUUUACCCAGUAUAGAUAGCUGGGGGAAUAAGGAGAGGGCAAGUCUAGUGUCAGCCGCCGCGGUAAUACCAGCUCUCCGAGUUGUAGGGAUGUUUAUUGGGCCUGAAGCAUCCGUAGCCGGCUGGACAAGUCCUCUGUUAAAUCCAGCGACCAAUCGUUGGUCUGCGGGGGAUACUGUCCGGCUAGGGGGCGGGAGAGGCCGUCGGUAUUCUUGGGGUAAGGGUGAAAUCCUAUAAUCCCAGGAGGACCACCAGUGGCGAAGGCUGUCGGCUAGAACGCGCCCGACGGUGAGGGAUGAAAGCUGGGGGAGCGAACCGGAUUAGAUACCCGGGUAGUCCCAGCUGUAAACGAUGCAGGCUAGGUGUUAGGGCGGCUACGUGCCGCUCUAGUGCCGCAGGGAAGCUGUUAAGCCUGCCGCCUGGGGAGUAAGGCCGCAAGGCUGAUCUUAAAGGCCA
RNAcentral lists this ribosomal RNA (803 nucleotides) under uncultured soil archaeon. Its description in RNAcentral is "bacterial SSU rRNA". It matches the Rfam family "Archaeal small subunit ribosomal RNA", at positions 77 to 865 of the family's 1478-position model. The record is from RNAcentral.